This is an RNA transcript of Panicum virgatum (switchgrass), 2549 nucleotides long. RefSeq lists it as uncharacterized. The record is from RefSeq and is a predicted model, not a curated record. The transcript is spliced from 9 exons. NCBI's taxonomy places the organism in Eukaryota, Viridiplantae, Streptophyta, Magnoliopsida, Poales, Poaceae.
AUACAUUUUGCUUUUGUAUAUCUCUAUGUACAAAUUUUGCAUAAUAAAAAUAACAUAUGUUAUGUGUGUUCAUCUUCUACUCAUAUAUCUGUACGUAUCAAUAAUGCCUUAAAAAUAGGAUAUGCUUGCCACAUUCAAUUUACAGUGUCUACAAAAUGCAUUUCCUUUACCGAUCUGCUAGAACAAACACUACUCAUAUCCAAUGAAUAAAUAGAUGUGGUAUUCCUGUAUGAGCAUACUGAAAAUGAAAACACCUGGUGAUAGCAUUAGAAUUCAAUAUAUCUAAAUCAGAGCACUACAUGUCAGGGAAACUAAAUACCUUCAAUAUGAAAGUUUCUCAAAAUAGUUAUAACACAUUCUGUAUGAACGUAGCAUUUAUCAAUUACAGUACAAGUGUGGAGUCCUCAUUUUAUAUAACAAACAAUUACUGCUUGUUAUUUCUUUUGGCUUCAUUGGCAAACAAUUGUGUAUUUACUAACACUCUUGUUUUUUCUAUACUUCCUAUAACCAUGCUACUACCAAAGCAUACAACUGCAAAUGGGUGCUGAGAAAAGAAAACUAGACCAUAAAGACAUUGACUACAUCCAUAAUACAAGUAAAAAAUUAAGAGCAAUAAGGAAGGAAAAGAUAAAAGAUAAAAGAAUGGCAGAUAAGAGGUAAGCAAAACGCGACAACAGAGCAGUAACAAAAAAAGAAGAAAAGACAAAGAAAAUGAAGAUAUACCUACUAAAAAAAGAUGUCUAAAUAUUGACUCCAAACACUCGUACCUAUCUUCAUCCUAUGGAAUGGUUUUAUUCUCUCCAGAAUACAUAAAGUACCUAAAAGAAUCAUAUCCUGAUAGAUCAUAUUUGGGUGUACCAAAGUACAAAUGCCAAUACUGCAAUGCCAUAUUUUGGUUUGAAGAACCCAACAAAAAAACAUCAGAAGCAUGAUGGUAACCAAAUAACAUACUCUAACUGUUGCAAAUAUGGAAGUAUCAAGAUACCAGCCUUUAGACAACCACCAGAUUUCCUCUUUACACUACUAAAUGACAAAGAAAAUAGUAUGUCAAAACAUUUCAUAGCAAGAAUUAGACAAUAUAAUAACUUACUUGCUUUUACAUCAAUGGGCGGAAAUAUAGAUAAAAAAAUCAAUAGGGGUGAACGCCCUUAUGUUUUUCGAGUAAAUGGUCAGAUACAUCACCAUAUUGGAUCCUUGCUCCCACAAAAGGAUACGGUUCCAAAGUUUGGUCAAUUAUAUAUUUUAUUUCAUACAUUGUACAUACUCAUUGUUUGGACCAAGAGCACAGGAAUUUGACGGGGACACAGUGUAUGAAGUUGGACAAAACUCUCACGUGAUAGCAAUAUUUGUUGGAACUUCUAUGAACUACUACAAGGGAUCACCUCCUUUCUUGAGUGGAACAACUGUAUGUAGAUGGUAUAUCAAUGAAAAUGAUAUCACUGAAAUAAGAGAUUUCUACAAAUGGGUAUAAAGUUUGAGUGCACUGCAGUAAUAAUUCAAGUAGCCCAAAACCAAUAUCGAUGCUAUCCAGCUUGCACAGCUUGUGGCUCAAGAUCAGUUUUUGAUGGAGAAAAAUAUCAUUGUUCCAAGGAUGGUUGCAUAGGCACAACUAUUGAGCAUAGUUAUGUUAUAUAUUCUCUAAGCAAUAGAAUAAUGGAGUCAGUAUAUUUGUAUAGUAUAUUGAGCAUAGGUACAAAGUUUGUCUUAUAGCAAGCGAUACAACAUGGCAGCUGCAAUUCAUGCUAUUCCAAGAUCGAGCAAUGCAGCUGAUUGGUAAACCUGCAGAAAAGUUGCUCACCACAUAUAGGAAAAGCGACAAUCCACUGGAAAUUUCAGCACUUAUUGGUCAGAAAUUCACUUUUAUUGAUCGAGUACUCUCAGAGAAGAAACUUAUUGCUUAUAAUCCAACGUUUGAAGUAGUGAAUAUAAAGAUAGAGAGGCAACCGGCAUCUUGUGCCACCUCAACUUCUGAGGAACACAACCUUCCACCUCUGGUACCUAUUUGUCCCAAGCCAUGGCAAAACAAGUCCUCAUAUUCCAGCAGUCAGCAGAAUUACAAUAUCGAUGAUAGGCAAACUGAACUGACUGAAAUAUUACAAGACAAGACCAUAAGAAAAGCACUGGAUAUAAAGAAUGAAGAACAGCUUGAAGACACACAUAAAAGGAAUAUCUCAGUCCGAGAACCAAAAGGUCACAUACAUAGAUCGAAACCAGUGAUAGAGAUUCAGCGUCACCUUGCCCUCUCAGUCUUCCUUGAGUGUGUCGUCGCCAUCAUCAGUUGCCGCCGUUGGCUAAAAGGUUAUGGAUGUAAUUUUCGAUGCAAAAGAAUUACUCCCUGUGUCUUCUAUUCCUGACAAAGGUAGCUGCUAAUGGUGGAAGCUAACUAGGAUUUACAUCGGCGGGCUCGAUGUGACAUCCUCCCGCCUUCGUAGUUCACGUGGUUUUUAAACUGAUCUUCUAUUCUAAAUUCCACUGCAUGUUGAACUCUAAUAAUUUAUUUAAACUUAUUUUUGUAAAGCUCUGUUUUGUAAAUUAAGUUUGAGAACUUU